This is a long non-coding RNA of Humulus lupulus (European hop), 1814 nucleotides long. RefSeq lists it as uncharacterized. The transcript is spliced from 3 exons. The record is from RefSeq and is a predicted model, not a curated record. Lineage: Eukaryota; Viridiplantae; Streptophyta; Magnoliopsida; Rosales; Cannabaceae.
CUUGACCGACCCUAAGUUUGAUGAAAACAAACUCGCUUUUCUAGUCUAAAGGCUAGUUAUUUAGAUUCAGGGCUAUACGGUGACUGAAAUGUCACAUGGCUAGGAGGGUGUGGAACCUCAAAGAUAGACUUAUCAGUCAUCUAUACAGCGAUAGACUUAUCAGUCAUCUAAAGAGAGAUACACUUAUCAGUCUUCUACUCAGAAAUAGACUUAUCAAUCAUCUAAAUAGAGAUAGAUUUAUCAGUCAUUUAUAUGGAGAUAGACUUAUCAGUCAUCUAUACAGAGAUAGACUUAUCAGUCAUCUAUAUAGAGAUGGACUUAUCAGUCAUCUACAUGGAGAUAGACUUAUCAUUCAUCUACACAGGGAUAGGCUUAUUAGUCAUCUAUACAGAGUAUGACUUAUUAGUCGUCUACUCAGAGAGAGACUUAUUAGUCGUCUACCUUAGAGAGACUUAUUAGUCAUCUACCUCAGAGGAAGAAACUUAUUAAUCAUCUACUCAGAGCACAGGACUCAUCAAACAUUUAUUUGUACCUGCUUGCAUGCAUAGGAUUAUUACUUGUAGUGCACCAAAUUUUUUUUUUUAGAUUAUUUAAAUUUUUGUGAUUUAUUUUAUUUAAAUGUUAAGUGUGAUGAAUUGUUUUAUUUAAGUGUUGUUAUUUUAUUUAGUUCAUUGUUUGUUUUAUUUGAUUGUUUAUUAUUUUAUUUAAUUGUUAGAAUUGUUUGGUAUAAUCUUUUGAAUUUAAAUUUGUUAAUUGUUUGUUUGGUUAAUUAAUUUAAUAAGUGAAUAGUGUGUAACAUAUGUUAUUUUACUAUUAGUGUUACAUUUUAAAUAAAUGUGACAAUUGAGGUAAUUAUGUGAGUUAUGAUUGAAUGCACUAAGGUGCAUGGUAGAUAGUGAUGCACUCUAGUGUUUUAGUGUGUGCUAGUACAUGGUAAUAAGGUGCACAUGUGUGGAUUUUCUACACAUUUUAUAAAUGCCAUUUAUUAUAUUUUUGGGUAGUUUAUUUUAAUAAGUGGGGAAUUAAAGAAAAAUAAAAUAAAAAUAAAGGAAAUGGCAUGUAGUGUGGACGUGUAUGUGUAGUGGGAAAAGAAUGGUUUAUUCCAUUUAUUUUCUUGAUUCAAUUAAAUUAAAAUUAGAAGACCAUGGUUAUUUUAGGUAAGGAUGUGAUCAUCUUUUUAUUCCUUGCCAUUUAAAGAUAAAAACAAUUAUACAAAAAUUAAGAGAAAAUAUGGAGAGAAUAGGAAACUUACCUUUUCUUUUUAUUAAGCCAUUGUGAGAGAAUAAGGAUAAAGGGGAAAGGAAAGAGGGGAAGAGCCAUUUGCUCUUGUGGCUGCCGAAAUUAGAGAGAGAGAGAGAGAGUGUGGCGUGUAGAGAGAGAGGGAGAAGAAGAAAGAAAGAAAGAAAGAAGAAGGUGAAGAGGAACCCAUCUUAGAGCUUGAACAAGGGUGUGAAGUUUGGGUGUUGAUCUUAUUGUGUUCUUGAUUUUACAAUCAAGAGAGGUAGCAAAUAGGAUUUCUUUAUGGCACGCGUGGUGACGUGAGGAGUUCUUUCAUCAUGGGGUGUAUGGCGUGGGGUAAUCCUAUGGACGGAAAAACGAUCAACGUAGAACGCCAUUUAAAUUAUGUUUUGUUUUUAAGAGACUUUCCUAAAUUAUCAGGGGGACUCAGUUAUUUAAUUUUUGGUUUCUUUGAACUUUGCAUGAAAAUCUAUGUUUUAUUUUAAAACUUAUGGCGCCAACUUGCAUGGUUUUAAACAAGUCCCCCUGAGACCUUGAUAAUGAAUGGUAUUCUUUUAUAAACUAUAUUAUGCGAA